Molecule: ribosomal RNA, 464 nt
Filed under: Vreelandella stevensii
Lineage: Bacteria; Pseudomonadati; Pseudomonadota; Gammaproteobacteria; Oceanospirillales; Halomonadaceae
Description: partial 16S ribosomal RNA
Rfam family: Bacterial small subunit ribosomal RNA
Source: RNAcentral
CUACGGGAGGCAGCAGUGGGGAAUAUUGGACAAUGGGCGAAAGCCUGAUCCAGCCAUGCCGCGUGUGUGAAGAAGGCCUUCGGGUUGUAAAGCACUUUCAGUGGGGAAGAAAGCCUUGGGGCUAAUACCCUCGAGGAAGGACAUCACCCACAGAAGAAGCACCGGCUAACUCCGUGCCAGCAGCCGCGGUAAUACGGAGGGUGCGAGCGUUAAUCGGAAUUACUGGGCGUAAAGCGCGCGUAGGCGGUCUGAUAAGCCGGUUGUGAAAGCCCCGGGCUCAACCUGGGAACGGCAUCCGGAACUGUCAGGCUAGAGUACAGGAGAGGAAGGUAGAAUUCCCGGUGUAGCGGUGAAAUGCGUAGAGAUCGGGAGGAAUACCAGUGGCGAAGGCGGCCUUCUGGACUGACACUGACGCUGAGGUGCGAAAGCGUGGGUAGCAAACAGGAUUAGAUACCCCGGUAGUC